GCUGGGCCUGCCUCUUCCUUCCCUCCCGCCCGCCAUGAGGUGCCCGGGCCUGCCCUCCCCUUCCCUGCCGCCAUCAGGUGAGGGGCUGGGCCUCCUCCUUCCCUCCCGCCAUGAGGGCUGCCAGCUGAUCCGUGGCUGAGGCGUGGGAAGGGACGGGCCGUGGCUCGGAGGUCUGGGGUAGCAAAGAGCCGCUGGGAAGGUAAACCCUGGCUGGUGCCCGUCGUGUGUGUGAAACCCCCGAGUUCUGCCGUAGUGUGACCCUGUGGGGAGGAGAUGUGAAGGAAUAACCUGCGCCGGGAUUGCUGAGGAGCGGCUGAGCCACGUGGGCAAGUGGUUGUCAUGUUCUGCUGCAGGUGUGGGCUCACUGCAGCAGCAGGAGUCGUUAAAAGGAAAGAAAUGCUGCUGUUGGUGCUGUUCUGAAGAUGCCUAUUUGAAAGAGAGAGAAGAUGGAAAUUUCCAGAGCACAAUUUCAGUGGGACUACUGGGGAAGUACUUUUUUUCAGGAUCUGGAUAUGCUAACCUGAAACAUCAGAGGUGGCUGGGGCCAAGGUAUAAUAAGAAUACACCAUUUUUAAAAUUGUAAAUCCCCUCUCACUGCUUGUUUAACAUGUGUUUUUUUCAGUGACUUCUAUUUAUUAAACUUAUUUAUAUUUAAA
Long non-coding RNA from Apus apus (common swift), 656 nucleotides. RefSeq lists it as uncharacterized. The transcript is spliced from 3 exons. NCBI's taxonomy places the organism in Eukaryota, Metazoa, Chordata, Aves, Apodiformes, Apodidae. The record is from RefSeq and is a predicted model, not a curated record.